Myotis brandtii (Brandt's bat) is the source of this 76-nucleotide non-coding RNA. The record is from Rfam. Lineage: Eukaryota; Metazoa; Chordata; Mammalia; Chiroptera; Vespertilionidae.
GAGACACCCCUAUGGAGCAGGACUUGCUUCAGUGGGUCUUCGGAGCUCACUGGGUCUAUCCCUUGAGUGUGUCGCU